This 1566-nucleotide ribosomal RNA is filed under the name metagenome. RNAcentral describes it as "bacterial SSU rRNA". It matches the Rfam family "Bacterial small subunit ribosomal RNA". The record is from RNAcentral.
AGAGCAUGAUACUGGCUCAGAACAAACGCUGGCAGCGUGCCUUAUACAUGCAAGUCGAGCGAGAAACUCCGCUUCGGCGGGGGAGUAAAGCGGCGAAAGGGUGAGUAAUGCAUGGGUAACUUGCCUCCCGGAGCGGGAUAACGGCGCCCUUUAGUGGGCCUUCGGCGAAAGUGCCGCUAGUACCGCAUGAAGAGACGCGGGCACUUCCUUACUCGUAAGCGUGGUAGCCUGUGUGUUGAAAUGGUGCGCAGGGCUUGCCCUGUGCCUCCGCCGGGAGAGAGGCCCAUGUCCUAUUAGCUAGUUGGUGGGGUAACGGCCCACCAAGGCGACGAUGGGUAGCCGACGUGAGAGCGUGACCGGCCACACUGGGACUGAGACACUGCCCAGAGCCCCACGGGGCGCAGCAGUAGGGAAUCUUCCGCAAUGGGCGCAAGCCUAACGGAGCGACGCUGCGUGGAGGAAGAAGGCCUUCGGGUUGUAAACUCCUGUCAGGGGCUAAGAAACGCUCGGGGGCGACCCCGGGCUUGACAAAGACCCCAAAGGAAGUCAUGGCUAACUCCGUGCCAGCAGCCGCGGUAAUACGGAGAUGGCAAGCGUUGUUCGGAAUUACUGGGCGUAAAGCGCGCGUAGGCGGUCGGGCAAGUCGGAGGUGAAAUCCUGCGGCUCAACCGCAGAACUGCCUUUGAUACUGCUCGACUUGAGGACGGAAGGGGAGAGUGGAACUCCUGGUGGAGCGGUGAAGUGCGUAGGUAUCAGGAGGAACGCCGGUGGCGAAAGCGACUCUCUGGGCCGUUCCUGACGCUGAGUGUGCGAAAGCCAGGGGAGCGAACGGGAUUAGAUACCCCGGUAGUCCUGGCCGUAAACGAUGGGCACUUGGCAGUAGGGGUUCGCCUUUACUGCCGGAGCUAACGCGUUAAGUGCCCCGCCUGGGUAGUACGGCCGCAAGGCUAAAACUCAAAGUAAUUGACGGGGGCUCGCACAAGCGGUGGAGCAUGUGCCUUAAUUCGAUUCAACGCGAGGAACCUUACCAGGGCUUGACAUGCUGGUGGUACAAUCCCGAAAGGGGGAGGACCCUGGUUUCCAGGGAGCCAGCACAGGUGUUGCAUGGCUGUCGUCCGCUCGUAUCGUGAGAUGUUGGGUUAAGUCCCGCAACGAGCGCAACCCUUGUCCCUAGUUACUAACGGAUAAUGCUGAGGACUCUAGGGAGACUGCCGGUGUCAAACCGGAGGAAGGUGGGGAUGACGUCAAGUCCUCAUGGCCCUUAUGCCCUGGGCGGGACACAUGCUACAAUGGCCGGCACAGCGGGAUGCGAAACCGCAAGGUGGAGCGAAGCCCUUAAAGCCGGUCUCAGUUCGGAUCGGGGGCUGCAACUCGCCCCCGUGAAGCUGGAAUCGCUAGUAAUCGCGGAUCAGCCACGCCGCGGUGAAUAUGUCCCCGAGCCUUGUACACACCGCCCGUCAAGCGACGGAAGUUGGCAGCACGCUAAGUCGUGGGUCUAACCCUGCUUCGGCAGGGAGGGCCGCGCCCACCGUGAGGCCAGCGACCGGCACUAAGUCGUAACAAGGU